Molecule: long non-coding RNA, 180 nt
Organism: Harpegnathos saltator (Jerdon's jumping ant)
Lineage: Eukaryota; Metazoa; Arthropoda; Insecta; Hymenoptera; Formicidae
Exons: 2
Source: RefSeq, a predicted model, not a curated record
AUUGUAUUUCUUCUAAUAACUGUUAUCAAAAAAUAAAUUCAGAAACAGCAUUCCAUUAAAAAAAACAAAGAUGACCUUCAAAUCUUAGGAAUCACCUGAAAAAAAGCGUUACCAUCGCAAGGAUUACUUCUGCACCAUUAACAUCCUCUGACAAAGUUGAUAACACGAGAAACGAGCUGG